AUUGAACGCUGGCGGCACGCCUUACACAUGCAAGUCGAACGGCAGCACGGGUGCUUGCACCUGGUGACGAGUGGCGAACGGGUGAGUAAUACAUCGGAACGUACCUUAUCGUGGGGGGUAACGCAGCGAAAGCUGUGCUAAUACCGCAUACGCCCUGAGGGGGAAAGCGGGGGAUCGAAAGACCUCGCGCGAUUAGAGCGGCCGAUGCCUGAUUAGCUUGUUGGUGGGGUAAAAGCCCACCAAGGCGACGAUCAGUAGCUGGUCUGAGUGGACGAUCAGCCACACUGGGACUGAGACACGGCCCAGACUCCUACGGGAGGCAGCAGUGGGGAAUUUUGGACAAUGGGGGCAACCCGGAUCCAGCAAUGCCGCGUGAGUGAAGAAGGCCUUCGGGUUGUAAAGCUCUUUUGUCAGGGAAGAAACACCGGCUCUAACACAGUCCGGGAAUGACGGUACCUGAAGAAUAAGCACCGGCUAACUACGUGCCAGCCGCCGCGGUAA
Molecule: ribosomal RNA, 501 nt
Filed under: uncultured bacterium
Lineage: Bacteria
Description: partial 16S ribosomal RNA
Rfam family: Bacterial small subunit ribosomal RNA
Source: RNAcentral